CCUACGUGAGGCAGCAGUGAGGAAUAUUGGUCAAUGGGCGCGAGCCUGAACCAGCCAAGUAGCGUGAAGGAUGACUGCCCUACGUGUUGUAAACUUCUUUUAUAAAGGAAUAAAGUGAGGCACGUGUGCCCUUUUGUAUGUACCUUAUGAAUAAGGAUCGGCUAACUCCGUGCCAGCAGCCGCGGUAAUACGGAGGAUCCGAGCGUUAUCCGGAUUUAUUGGGUUUAAAGGGAGCGGAGAUGGGUUGUUAAGUCAGUUGUGAAAGUUUGCGGCUCAACCGUAAGAUUGCAAUUGAUACUGGCAGUCUUGAGUACAUGUGAGGUAGGCGGAAUUCGUGGUGUAGCGGUGAAAUGCUUAGAUAUCACGCAGAACUCCGAUUGCGAAGGCAGCUUACUAAACUGCCACUGACAUUGAGGCUCGAAAGUGUGGGUAUCAAACAGGAUUAGAUACCCUUGUAGUC
This 460-nucleotide ribosomal RNA is filed under the name uncultured bacterium. Its description in RNAcentral is "partial 16S ribosomal RNA". It matches the Rfam family "Bacterial small subunit ribosomal RNA", at positions 338 to 795 of the family's 1533-position model. The record is from RNAcentral.